CGGUUAAAACGCUCGUAGUUGGGUUUCUGUCAGGAACAACUGGUCUGUCCUGUGUGUCGAGCACUAGUUCGGCUCCUGGCAUCUUCUUGGGGAACGGGUGCGCACUUCACUGUGUGGCCUGGAAACCUUGACGUUUACUUUGAGGAAAUGAGAGUGCUUCAAGCGGGUGUCCGCCACGAAUACGUUAGCAUGGAAUAAUAGUAUUGGACCUCGGAUCAUAGCUGUUGGUUGCUGGAAUCGGGGUGAGGGUAAACAGGGACAGUUGGGGGCAUUCGCAUUUAACUGUCAGAGGUGAAAUUCUUGGAUUCUGUUAAAGACGGACUACUGCGAAAGCAUUUGCCAAGGAUGUUUUCAUUGAUCAAGAACGAAAGUUAGGGGAUCGAAGACGAUCAGAUACCGUCCUAGUCUUAACCAUAAACCAUGCCGACUAGAGAUUGGAGGUCGUUGCUCUUCCGACGCCCUCGGCAUCUUGGGAGAAAUCAAAGUCUUUGGGUUCCGGGGGGAGUAUGGUCGCAAGGCUGAAACUU
Molecule: ribosomal RNA, 527 nt
Filed under: uncultured marine eukaryote
Lineage: Eukaryota
Description: SSU rRNA
Rfam family: Eukaryotic small subunit ribosomal RNA
Source: RNAcentral